AACCGGGAGAGGUAAGAGGUACUACAGGGGUAGGAGUGAAAUCUUGUAAUCCCUGUGGGACCACCUGUGGCGAAGGCGUCUUACCAGAACGGGUUCGACGGUGAGGGACGAAAGCUGGGGGCACGAACCGGAUUAGAUACCCGGGUAGUCCCAGCCGUAAACGAUGCUCGCUAGGUGUCAGGCAUGGCGCGACCGUGUCUGGUGCCGCAGGGAAGCCGUGAAGCGAGCCACCUGGGAAGUACGGCCGCAAGGCUGAAACUUAAAGGAAUUGGCGGGGGAGCACAACAACGGGUGGAGCCCUGCGGUUUAAUUGGACUCAACGCCGGACAACUCACCGGGGGCACAGCAAUAUGUAGGCCAAGCUGAAGACUUUGCCUGAAUCGCUGAGUAGAGGUGCAUGG
RNAcentral lists this ribosomal RNA (401 nucleotides) under uncultured archaeon. RNAcentral's name for it is "bacterial SSU rRNA". It matches the Rfam family "Archaeal small subunit ribosomal RNA", at positions 597 to 997 of the family's 1478-position model. The record is from RNAcentral.